This is a long non-coding RNA of Dermacentor silvarum, 591 nucleotides long. RefSeq lists it as uncharacterized. The record is from RefSeq and is a predicted model, not a curated record. The transcript has 4 exons. NCBI's taxonomy places the organism in Eukaryota, Metazoa, Arthropoda, Arachnida, Ixodida, Ixodidae.
GCUAGAUGAGGACUUUGACAUUGUAAAACCGAAUGCAUUAUCUCUGGCGUCAGUUGUAUCAUGAAUCAACCACUUUAUUUCGGCAUCAAACACGUAUAGAGUGUAUAAAUAGGGCUGUCUUCACUAAGGCUGCCACCACCACCCUUGAAAGUAGUUUAUCCCAAAAGAAACGUGCACGCUGGUGGGAAAGACUUGCUGCAAUUCUACGGAACUUGGGACAGCACCUUGGAUUUCGCCGGAACCUUCACUCCUGAUCUACAAUGAGACUGUGCACGUUUGUCGACCUUAGUUUCCUGAAUUUAAUUAUACUGACCAUAGCUUUGAUGGUUGCUGAAGAAACGCAGCAGUCCCAAAAUUCAGAUAUUCCUGAGCAGUGCCAGCCGCCCGAAGACGACUUGAAAGAGCAACCAUGCCGUCAACCCCUCAGAGUAGGAGUAUAUUGUGGGAGUACCACAAGGAGCAAUCAGCAGUGCCAGAAGAGGUGGCAUUACAACACGUAUCGGAAAGAUUGUUAUUCGUUUUGGUAUACAGGAUGUGGAGGAAACCAGAACAACUUUGAUUCCCAAUUUAACUGCAGAAACAGUUGCUGGG